GGCCGACUAGCUCAGUUGGUUAGAGCGUGGUGCUAAUAACGCCAAGGUCGUCGGUUCGCUCCCGGCGUUGGCCA
Molecule: transfer RNA, 74 nt
Filed under: Pilatotrama ljubarskyi
Lineage: Eukaryota; Fungi; Basidiomycota; Agaricomycetes; Polyporales; Polyporaceae
Description: tRNA-Ile
Source: RNAcentral